GCAGUCGUGGCCUACUGGUUAGCGCUUCGGACUUGUAACCGGAGGGUUGCCGGUUCGAACCCCGACCGGUAGGC
This 74-nucleotide transfer RNA is filed under the name Alosa alosa (allis shad). Its description in RNAcentral is "tRNA-OTHER". The record is from RNAcentral. Lineage: Eukaryota; Metazoa; Chordata; Actinopteri; Clupeiformes; Clupeidae.